Molecule: transfer RNA, 69 nt
Filed under: Camelus bactrianus (Bactrian camel)
Lineage: Eukaryota; Metazoa; Chordata; Mammalia; Artiodactyla; Camelidae
Also listed under: 2 other names
Rfam family: tRNA
About the family: Transfer RNA (tRNA) molecules are approximately 80 nucleotides in length.
Source: Rfam by way of RNAcentral
GGAAUAGCUCAGUGGUAGAGCAUGUGCUUAGCAUGCAUGAGGUCCUGGGUUCAAUCCCCAGUACCUCCU